Molecule: ribosomal RNA, 497 nt
Filed under: uncultured bacterium
Lineage: Bacteria
Description: partial 16S ribosomal RNA
Rfam family: Bacterial small subunit ribosomal RNA
Source: RNAcentral
GAUGAACGCUGGCGGCGUGCCUAAUACAUGCAAGUCGAGCGAACGGACGAGAAGCUUGCUUCUCUGAUGUUAGCGGCGGACGGGUGAGUAACACGUGGAUAACCUACCUAUAAGACUGGGAUAACUUCGGGAAACCGGAGCUAAUACCGGAUGAUAUUUUGAACCGCAUGGUUCAAAAGUGAAAGACGGUCUUGCUGUCACUUAUAGAUGGAUCCGCGCUGCAUUAGCUAGUUGGUAAGGUAACGGCUUACCAAGGCAACGAUGCAUAGCCGACCUGAGAGGGUGAUAGGCCACACUGGAACGGAGACACGGUCCAUACUCCUACGGGAGGCAGCAGUAGGGAAUCUUCCGCAAUGGGCGAAAGCCUGACGGAGCAACGCCGCGUGAGUGAUGAAGGUCUUCGGAUCGUAAAACUCUGUUAUUAGGGAAGAACAUAUGUGUAAGUAACUGUGCACAUCUUGACGGUACCUAAUCAGAAAGCCACGGCUAACUACGUG